AGAAUCAACGCUGGCGGCGUGCCUCAGACAUGCAAGUCGAACGCGAAAGUCCCCUUCGGGGGGCAAGUAGAGUGGCGCACGGGUGAGUAACACGUAGGUAAUCUACCUUCGGGUGGGGAAUAACAACCGGAAACGGUUGCUAAUACCGCAUAAUGCAGCGGCACCUAAUGGUGACAGUUGUUAAAGCGGGGGAUCGCAAGAUCUCGCGCCUGAAGAGGAGCCUGCGGCGGAUUAGCUAGUUGGUAGGUAACGGCCUACCAAGGCGACGAUCC
RNAcentral lists this ribosomal RNA (272 nucleotides) under uncultured soil bacterium. RNAcentral's name for it is "partial 16S ribosomal RNA". It matches the Rfam family "Bacterial small subunit ribosomal RNA", at positions 26 to 282 of the family's 1533-position model. The record is from RNAcentral.